Long non-coding RNA from Aethina tumida (small hive beetle), 1894 nucleotides. RefSeq lists it as uncharacterized. Lineage: Eukaryota; Metazoa; Arthropoda; Insecta; Coleoptera; Nitidulidae. The record is from RefSeq and is a predicted model, not a curated record. The transcript is spliced from 2 exons.
UAUAUCCGUGAUAAACAAGAAAAUAUAGAAUAAAAAAUAAUUGUUUAACUAUCAAUUUUCAAAACGUCAGCAAAAGAAUACGUUAAAAAUUAGAAAUGACUUUUUUGUAAAUCAAGAAAGCAGUAAAACAUGGUUAAAUUCGAGAAGCACUUUGUCGUAAACAAGGCACUUCACCUUCGAGCACUUAAUAGAAACUUUUCCGGAUUAGCCUUACAUUCUUCGCCGAUUUAUAUAUCCCUACUUAGCUUAAAAAGUUUCAAUCUCUAAAAUGUUUCACACUAAUCGUGUGGAAAAGAUAAAAAUUGAUGGAAGCGAAUAAAGGAGGUCCUCCAGUGACCGAUCCAAAUUGAUAAUAAUGUUCCACGUCACUUUUGUAGCAAGAGGCAAAAGGAAAUUGAAUUGUGUAUCUGAAAAUCACUUUCACGUCGUGAAAUUGCCCGUUUUUCCCAUAAAAAGCAUAAUACCACACGCUCUUGUCAAUCAAGUUUUCGAUUACGAACUAAACUCGAUUCUUAUUGCACCACAGAGACAUUUACUCAUUAUAGAGUUGAAACCAAGGCCGCAACAUAUACAACAAGGAGCGGGCAUUAGCGAAACAACAAUUAGAAACAAUUAGUCGGAUCGGUCGAGUGAAGCUACAACUGUUGCACGGUGUCGCCUUAAAAGUCGCCAUGAAUCAGACCGACCGCUAAUUGAUGCGUUCGUUCGUUCCACAAUGUAGGAAUUGUUUACAUUGCGGAUGUGGAUGUACUUUUACAUUUAUCUCUGGUUUUGCUCGUUUCUAGCUUCGUUUAACGUUCGUCAUUUUAAUGUAGCAAAAAUAAAUCUAUUCAGCAAAGUGAAUAAUUUAAUGUAAGAAUUUUGGUCACGCGACCGCUUUGAAAACGUAAACGAACGUUUACACGUGCAAUUAAGCAAAUACACAUUUUACAAGUUUUUCCGGAAAACGCGAGCAAAAAAGAAGGCACGAGGAAUGUUCAAAUCUAACGAAUGACACAUUCAAAUGAAUGAAUGUGAAGUUAUUUUCGAACACCGUGUGCGGUGUUAAAUAUACACUAUCGGUCAUAUGUAGAGCGAAAAAAUUUAUUAAAACAACGAUUCUUUUUAAUUUAAAUAAAUUUUAUAAUUAAUUAUUAAGUGUCUAAUUAUUUCGUACCUCUAUUUAUAUAUGGAUAUCUUUACUUAUUGUACAUUAUAUAACUUUUUAUUUCUAGCAGGGUUCCUAAGUGAAGCAACUAAAUGUCAGUAUGUCGAAGACUAAAAGAACGUUGUCUCUAUAUAGAAGAAAAUCAGGAACAAAGCCCUUAAUUUCUGCUACUGGACACGUGGGCAAUGGAAAACAAUAUUUUCCGAUGAAAGUCGGUUCCUACUAUUUAAAUUUGAUGACAUUUCAUGGGUGAGAAGAUCAGUUAAUAAAAGGUAUUAUUCCAAGUACACUAGACCUACUGUGAAGCAUGGUGAAGAAAGUUUUAUGGUUUAGGGAUGUGGUUUUCUGGGUUUGACAUAGACCCGCUGGUUAAGAAGAAAUAAUCACUGGAAACAAAGAUCCAACGAUUUUAUUGAAAAAAGUUUCAGAUUGAUGCAGUGAAAGCCGAUAUCGCUGAGAAAAUGCAACUGCUGCGAAUUCCUUUAGUUAAAUGUGGAACAAAAGAAAUAUAUUUCUUCAUAUAAUUAUUUUGUUUUAGCGAAAAAUAUAGUUAACAAAAUCAUUAUUGUUUAUUCCUCGACUAUUUUUACCGAGGCGGGAAUAGAUACGAGACAAGGGAAAUUAGUAAAAAUGAACGUGAACGUUAAUUAGGAAACGCAUUCAUUAAAAUAGUAUAGCAUGUAAUAAGGAUACAAAUUACAUGUUGGUAUAAAAACAAAAUAAAUAAACAACAGUAAUCAUUAGACA